UGUGUGUGUGUGUGUGUGUGUGUGUGUGUGUGUGUGUGUGUGUGUGUGUGUGCGCGCGCAUGCACGCACGCACACUC
RNAcentral lists this microRNA precursor (77 nucleotides) under Vicugna pacos (alpaca). RNAcentral's name for it is "miRNA (ENSVPAG00000016377.1)". The record is from RNAcentral. Lineage: Eukaryota; Metazoa; Chordata; Mammalia; Artiodactyla; Camelidae.